RNAcentral lists this ribosomal RNA (466 nucleotides) under uncultured bacterium. RNAcentral's name for it is "partial 16S ribosomal RNA". It matches the Rfam family "Bacterial small subunit ribosomal RNA", at positions 30 to 507 of the family's 1533-position model. The record is from RNAcentral.
CGAACGCUGGCGGCGUGCUUCACACAUGCAAGUCGAACGGAAAGGCCCUGCUUUUGUGGGGUGCUCGAGUGGCGAACGGGUGAGUAACACGUGAGUAACCUGCCCUUGACUUUGGGAUAACUUCAGGAAACUGGGGCUAAUACCGGAUAGGAGCUCCUGCUGCAUGGUGGGGGUUGGAAAGUUUCGGCGGUUGGGGAUGGACUCGCGGCUUAUCAGCUUGUUGGUGGGGUAGUGGCUUACCAAGGCUUUGACGGGUAGCCGGCCUGAGAGGGUGACCGGCCACAUUGGGACUGAGAUACGGCCCAGACUCCUACGGGAGGCAGCAGUGGGGAAUAUUGCACAAUGGGCGGAAGCCUGAUGCAGCAACGCCGCGUGCGGGAUGACGGCCUUCGGGUUGUAAACCGCUUUCGCCUGUGACGAAGCGUGAGUGACGGUAAUGGGUAAAGAAGCACCGGCUAACUACGUG